This 959-nucleotide non-coding RNA is filed under the name Puntius titteya (cherry barb). Its description in RNAcentral is "12S rRNA". It matches the Rfam family "Bacterial small subunit ribosomal RNA". Lineage: Eukaryota; Metazoa; Chordata; Actinopteri; Cypriniformes; Cyprinidae. The record is from RNAcentral.
CAAAGGCAUGGUCCCAGCCUUACUAUCAGCUCUAGCCCAACUUACACAUGCAAGUAUCCGCAGCCCAGUGAAUAUGCCCUCAAUCCCCCGCCCGGGGACGAGGAGCGGGCAUCAGGCACAAACAAAUUAGCCCAAGACGCCUGGCCAAGCCACACCCCCAAGGGAAUUCAGCAGUGAUAAAUAUUAAGCUAUAAGUGAAAACUUGACUCAGUCAGGACUAAGAGGGCCGGUAAAACUCGUGCCAGCCACCGCGGUUAAACGAGAGGCCCUAGUUGAUAUACAACGGCGUAAAGGGUGGUUAAGUAUUAAUUUAAAAUAAAGCCAAACGGCCCUUCGGCUGUUAUACGCUUCUAGAAGUCUGAGGCCCUACAUACGAAAGUAGCUUUAAUAGACAUACCCGACCCCACGAAAGCUAAGAAACAAACUGGGAUUAGAUACCCCACUAUGCUUAGCUAUAAACCUAGACACUCAAAUACAAUAAGUGUCCGCCAGGGUACUACGAGCACCAGCUUAAAACCCAAAGGACCUGACGGUGUCUCAGAUCCACCUAGAGGAGCCUGUUCUAGAACCGAUAUUCCCCGUUCAACCUCACCACUUCUAGCCAUCCCAGCCUAUAUACCGCCGUCGUCAGCUUACCCUGUGAAGGAGAUACUAGUAAGCAAAAUGAGCACAGCCCAGAACGUCAGGUCGAGGUGUAGCGCAUGUAGUGGGAAGAAAUGGGCUACAUUUUCUUUUACAGAAUAUUUACGAAUGUACACCAUGAAAUAGUGUUUAAAGGAGGAUUUAGAAGUAAAAGGGAAAUAGAGUGUCCCUUUGAACCCGGCUCUGAGACGCGUACACACCGCCCGUCACUCUCCCUAUUAUAAACUAUACCAAAUAUACUUAAUAAAACAACAUCAAUAUAAGGGAGGCAAGUCGUAACACGGUAAGUGUACCGGAAGGUGCACUUGGACCAAACC